AACGAACGCUGGCGGCGCGCCUAAUACAUGCAAGUCGAGCGAGAAGACGUAGCAAUACGUUUGUAAAGCGGCGAACGGGUGAGGAAUACAUGGGUAACCUACCCUCGAGUGGGGAAUAACUAGCCGAAAGGUUAGCUAAUACCGCGUACGCUCCUUGGACUUCGGUUCAGGGAGGAAAGCGAUACCGUGGGUAUCGCGCUCUUGGAUGGGCUCAUGUCCUAUCAGCUUGUUGGUGAGGUAACGGCUCACCAAGGCUUCGACGGGUAGCUGGUCUGAGAGGACGAUCAGCCACACUGGCACUGCGACACGGGCCAGACUCCUACGGGAGGCAGCAGUAAGGAAUAUUGCGCAAUGGGCGAAAGCCUGACGCAGCGACGCCGCGUGGGGGAUGAAGGUCUUCGGAUUGUAAACCCCUUUCGGGAGGGAAGAUGGAAUGGGGUAACCCAUUCGGACGGUACCUCCAGAAGCAGCCACGGCUAACUUCGUGCCAGCAGCCGCCGCGGU
RNAcentral lists this ribosomal RNA (504 nucleotides) under uncultured bacterium. RNAcentral's name for it is "bacterial SSU rRNA". It matches the Rfam family "Bacterial small subunit ribosomal RNA", at positions 29 to 524 of the family's 1533-position model. The record is from RNAcentral.